AGAGUUUGAUCAUGGCUCAGAGCGAACGUUUGCGGCGGGCCUAACACAUGCAAGUCGAACGGUAGUCCCUUCGGGGAUGAGAGUGGCGCACGGGUGCGUAACACGUGGAUAAUCUACCUUUUUGUUGGGGACAACCUUGGGAAACCAGGGCUAAUACCCGAUGUGUCUAUCUGGGGUGCGCUCCGGGUAGAGAAAGACCCGCAAGGGUUGCGAGAAGAUGAGUUCGCGUCCCAUCAGCUAGUUGGUGAGGUAAUGGCUCACCAAGGCGAAGACGGGUAACUGGUCUGAGAGGAUGAUCAGUCACACUGGAACUGAGACACGGUCCAGACUCCUACGGGAGGCAGCAGUGGGGAAUAUUGCGCAAUGGGCGGAAGCCUGACGCAGCCACGCCGCGUGAGCGAUGAAGGUCUUCGGAUCGUAAAGCUCUGUGGGGAGAGAAGAAGAGGCCAGCUGAAGAGGCUGGGAUGACGGUAUCUCCUUAGCAAGCACCGGCUAACUCUGUGCCAGCAGCCGCGGUAAUACAGAGGGUGCAAACGUUGCUCGGAAUUAUUGGGCGUAAAGCGCACGUAGGCGGUUUGUUAAGUUGGAUGUGAAAACCCUGGGCUCAACCCUGGAAGUGCAUCCAAGACUGACAAGCUAGAGUAUCGGAGGGGGUCGGAGAAUUCCCGGUGUAGAGGUGAAAUUCGUAGAUAUCGGGAGGAACAUCUGUGGCGAAGGCGCCGACCUGGACGAAAACUGACGCUGAGGUGCGAAAGCAUGGGGAGCAAACAGGAUUAGAUACCCUGGUAGUCCAUGCCGUAAACGAUGAGUGCUGGACGGUGGAAGAUUAUGACCCUUUCGUCGUCGAAGCUAACGCGUUAAGCACUCCGCCUGGGAAGUACGGUCGCAAGACUAAAACUCAAAGGAAUUGACGG
This 914-nucleotide ribosomal RNA is filed under the name uncultured bacterium. RNAcentral describes it as "bacterial SSU rRNA". It matches the Rfam family "Bacterial small subunit ribosomal RNA", at positions 8 to 916 of the family's 1533-position model. The record is from RNAcentral.